RNAcentral lists this ribosomal RNA (439 nucleotides) under uncultured bacterium. RNAcentral describes it as "partial 16S ribosomal RNA". It matches the Rfam family "Bacterial small subunit ribosomal RNA", at positions 339 to 795 of the family's 1533-position model. The record is from RNAcentral.
CUACGGGAGGCUGCAGUGGGGAAUAUUGCGCAAUGGAGGAAACUCUGACGCAGCCAUGCCGCGUGAGUGAAGAAGGCCUUAGGGUUGUAAAGCUCUUUCAGAUGUGAUGAUGAUGACAGUAGCAUCAGAAGAAGUUCCGGCUAACUUCGUGCCAGCAGCCGCGGUAAUACGAAGGGAACUAGCGUUGUUCGGAUUUACUGGGCGUAAAGAGCAUGUAGGCGGAUUGGUCAGUUGGGGGUGAAAGCCCGGAGCUCAACUCCGGAACUGCCUUCAAUACUGCCAGUCUAGAGUCCGUAAGGGGGUGGUGGAAUUCCGAGUGUAGAGGUGAAAUUCGUAGAUAUUCGGAGGAACACCAGUGGCGAAGGCGACCACCUGGUACGGUACUGACGCUGAGAUGCGAAAGCGUGGGGAGCAAACAGGAUUAGAUACCCGGGUAGUC